CUUUUCACCUUCGUAACCAACCAUCCAGAUAUUGUUUAGGACAAAUUCGUUUCAACCGUUGGAUCUUUGGCACUUGAGGGAAAAGAAGAAGAAGAAGGAAAAAAAAGAGACAUUGCGUAUUUUUCCCUCUCUCUCAUCCUACAUUGCUUUUUUGGUACGGAUGAGGAAAGUGCUUAAAAGUUUAGAUAAAUCUCGUGGACCAGUGCUUUACGUGGCCUGAUUUUCACGAAGUGAAGCUUCUUCUUUUUUUUUCGUGGACGGAGGAUGAUGUAAACGUCGCGAUGAGUAUCACCGAUUGGCAGAGAUACGGCUGUCGCACGGUUCCCCGUCUUCCAAAAGGCUGCGAUCGUAGCGAACAUCAUCAGACUAGUCCAGAAAAUAUUAAUACGCAUACCGAUUCUCUCUCUCUCUCUCUCUCUCUGCCUUUUUCUCUCGGCCCUCCUUUAAAGAAAUAUAUCGCACGAAUAGAGACACAAGCGAAACGCGACGGUACUUGUAAACCUUCCUUAUCUAAAGUCGUGCUCCAUAAAGGGUAUUAUCGAUCGUUAAACAAGACUUUGCACCACGAGGACGACGGAGGAGGAGGUGGACGAGACGGACGAUAAGUUUUAUUAUUACUGCCGUUUGAAAAUAAAAACUAUUGGUACAUAUCGGUACGUACUUACUUCCUCGUAAGCGUCUACGAUUCGAUGGUAUAUUUCGAAGGACGAACGUUUAUGGAGACGAUAAAAAUGAUGUUCCGUCCGUAAGAGAGGAAAAAAAAAAGAAAGAAAAAAACCAACGCGAUUCGAACGAAAUCGAUCGUUACGUAACGAGCAAGAACGCAAAGACAUGCGUAGGCAUGGAAAGCGCGAAAGUUUCUCUGACAAUGAGCUCGAUCCCUGGCAACCGGUGUGGCGCGCCUCUAUAGACCUCGUUUCGCUCCACGUACCGUUAACUCGAUCGAAAUAAAAUGAAUCCUAGGGGUAUGACAUGUUAUAGGUGGAUAUAGGACAAUUCGGACGGAUGCACAAGGGAGAAAGAGAGAUAAAAAGCCGACGAAAUGUGAGAAAAUCGCCGCGAGUGCUACUCGUCCUACUGUGCAUGUACGUUCGUAAACCUAGAAAUAACGGUCCCUCUCUUUCUCUCUCUCUCUCUCUCUCUUUCUCUCUCUCGGAAGCUGGACGAAGUAGAUUGAAACCAUUCGUGUACAAAGAAGAGUACAAAGAAGAGUAUUGUCUCGCAAUUUCUCCGGGGAUCUAUUCUUUUAUUUACACUCCGGUACAUACGUAGACGUAGGCGUAAUUUUUCACGGAUACGGGACGAGCCAUGAAAUAAAAAGGCGUGAAAUAAAAAAUCGAGAGAAUAUUUAUACCAUAUUUAAAAUCAGGACGCGCGUAGACCAACGAACAUCUCGUAAAAGGUGAGAAUAAAUAGCGAGAUCUCGCCGAAAUUCGAUAAGAAAAUGAAAUGGGAGAAGAAAAAAUUAAAAAGGGCAACAGGAAGAACAAAAAAAAACAAGAAAAGAAUUAUAUUACGAAUAACUUAAGGAGGAAGAUAAAUUAAAGACGGAGGAGGUCACCACUUAGCUGCGGACGAAUUUCUAAAAGCUCCAACGAACGAGGGAGGGAGAAGAGAGAAGGGGUCAAUUGAUUUCAUUGAAGAAGACGAAAACGACGAAAGCUCCUACCACCGAAAAGCAUCUAAUUUUCUCGCGAGUACCACUCGACGACGAGAUUAUUGUAGAUAAAAGCCGAGUGGUUCCUGUGGCACCGUGCAUAAAACAGCGUUCCCAAGAGCGCUUAUCGUUUCGAAAGAAAUCUACCGAAACCUUUGAUACUCUUCUACUCUCUUGAAAGAUAUCAAUAAUGUACAUUUACGUCGACUCUUUCUACUUGCGAAUAAACUUAUAUAUAACUUAGAAUAAACG
Vespa velutina is the source of this 1909-nucleotide long non-coding RNA. RefSeq lists it as uncharacterized. The record is from RefSeq and is a predicted model, not a curated record. The transcript has 3 exons. NCBI's taxonomy places the organism in Eukaryota, Metazoa, Arthropoda, Insecta, Hymenoptera, Vespidae.